GGAGAGUAACGCAUGGGAACGUACCCUUUACUACGGAAUAACGCAGGGAAACUUGUGCUACUACCGUAGGUGCCCUUUGGGGGAAAGAUUUAUCGGUAAAGGAUCGGCCCGCGUUGGAUUAGCUAGUUGGUGGGGUAAAGGCCUACCAAGGCGACUAUCCAUAGCUGGUCUGAGAGGAGGAUCAGCCACAUUGGGACUGAGACACGGCCCAAACUCCUACGGGAGGCAGCAGUGGGGAAUAUUGGACAAUGGGCGCAAGCCUGAUCCUGCCAUGCCGCGUGAGUGAUGAAGGCCCUAGGGUUGUAAAGCUCUUUCACCGGACAACAUAAUGACGGUAUCCUGAGAAUAAGCCCCGGCUAACUUCGUGCCAACAGCCGCGGUAAUACAAAGGGGGCUAACGUUGUUCGGAAUUACUGGGCGUAAAGCGCACGUAUGCGGAUCGAUCAGUCAGGGGUGAAAUCCCAUGGCUCAACCCUGGAACUGCCUUUGAUACUGUCGAUCUGGAGUAUGGAACAGGUGAGUGGAAUUCCGAGUGUACAGGUGAAAUUCGUAGAUAUUCUGAGGAACACCAGUGGCGAAUGCGGCUCACUGGUCCAUUACUGACACUGAUGUGCGAAAGCGUGGGGAGCAAACACGAUUAGAUACCCUGGUAGUCCACGCCGUAAACGAUGAAUGUUAGCCGUCGGGCAAUAUACUGUUCUGUGGCGCAGCUAACGCAUUAAACAUUCCGCCUGGGGAGUACGGUCACAAGAUUAAAACUCCAACGAAUUGACAGGGGCCCCCACCAACGGUGGAGCAUGUGGUUUUAUUCUAAGCCACGCGCUAAACCUUACCAGCCCUUCACAUGCCCGGCUACCUCCAAAAAUGCACGAUUCCCUUCCGGGACCCCGACCAAAUGCUGCCUGCUGUCUCA
RNAcentral lists this ribosomal RNA (913 nucleotides) under bacterium. RNAcentral's name for it is "bacterial SSU rRNA". It matches the Rfam family "Bacterial small subunit ribosomal RNA", at positions 105 to 1057 of the family's 1533-position model. The record is from RNAcentral.